RNAcentral lists this transfer RNA (72 nucleotides) under Ovis aries (sheep). It matches the Rfam family "tRNA". From Rfam's summary of the family: Transfer RNA (tRNA) molecules are approximately 80 nucleotides in length. Their secondary structure includes four short double-helical elements and three loops (D, anti-codon, and T loops). The record is from Rfam by way of RNAcentral. Lineage: Eukaryota; Metazoa; Chordata; Mammalia; Artiodactyla; Bovidae.
UCCCUGGUGGUCCAAUGGUUAAGACAUCACCUUCCAAUGCAGGAGGUGCAGGCUGGAUCCCUGCUCAGGGAG